AUGGAGAGGGCGUCUUCCUCCUCGACCGCGGCCCCUUGGCCGAGCGAUUCGGGGUGGACGACGACGGGACGCUGCCCCCUCUGCGGCUGGGAGGAGAGCGGGGUCACCGUCGCCCUCAUCUUCGAGCACGCGUCGCGCUGCCGGGAGAGGCGAUUCGAGAUGCUGCAGCGCCAGGCGGAGGAGCGGAUUGCCGACUUCAUCUUUGUUUCUUUUUUGGAUUUAUUCGGCAGGGAUGACAGGCAGUACAGGAGGGAGAACCUGCAGUACAGGCCUAAGAGUAAGCCAUCCUCUGUGUCUGCUUCUGAUGUUGAUCAGAAGUCUGAAGGGAAGGUGGAGCCUGCUGCUGAGGAAAAGCAGGUGGAAAAUGUUCGCAAGGCAAAGGAGGCUGCUGCAAAGGAAGCCAAGCCUCUCAAGGCUAUCAGCAUCCAGGAGUACCUGAAGCCAGAGGAUGGUUCAGAGUACGUGCCUCCUACCCCACCGAGGCGCCCUCAAAAUGGCGGCUACAGGGGAGGCCGUGGCAACGGUGCUUACAAUGGCUGUAGCAACCGUGACAGCAGCUCUGAGUGCCGGGUCUACAAUGCUGGCCGCGGCCAUAACUCCAUCGUGUUCCACAACGCCGAGGCCAAGGCCAACGCCAACGACAGUGGCGCCCCAAGGAGGGGUGAGGGUUACAAUGGCGAGCGCCGGCAAGGCGGCUACCACUUACCAGCAAGGUGGCAGGGUGGGUACUACCAGGAGCGCAGGGAUGCCUGCAAUGGCGACCGCCGGGAGCAAGGCAGGUACAAUGGUGGUGGCCGGGGCAAUGGUGGUUACCAGGAGCACAGGGAUGCCUACAAUGGCAACCGCCAGGAGCAAGGCCGGUACAAUGGUGGCCGGGGCAACGGUUACCAGCAGCACCAGGAUGGCUACAAUGGUUACCGGGGUGGGUACUACAACAGUGGGCGGGGCAAUGGUGGAUACCACCAGGGCGGCAACUACCGGCAGAGGCAAGCUCCCAAGCCAAAGGAGGAGGAUAAAGUGGUGAUCACAGAGGCCGACUUCCCAGCUCUAGGUGGCGCAUCUCAGGCGCAGUCCCAGGCCUAG
Molecule: ribosomal RNA, 1083 nt
Filed under: Triticum aestivum (bread wheat)
Lineage: Eukaryota; Viridiplantae; Streptophyta; Magnoliopsida; Poales; Poaceae
Description: partial small subunit ribosomal RNA
Source: RNAcentral